Molecule: ribosomal RNA, 550 nt
Filed under: uncultured bacterium
Lineage: Bacteria
Description: bacterial SSU rRNA
Rfam family: Bacterial small subunit ribosomal RNA
Source: RNAcentral
UGGGGAAUCUUCCGCAAUGGACGAAAGUCUGACGGAGCAACGCCGCGUGAGUGAUGACGGCCUUCGGGUUGUAAAGCUCUGUUAAUCGGGACGAAUGGUUCUUGUGCAAAUAGUGCAAGGGUUUGACGGUACCGGAAUAGAAAGCCACGGCUAACUACGUGCCAGCAGCCGCGGUAAUACGUAGGUGGCAAGCGUUGUCCGGAAUUAUUGGGCGUAAAGCGCGCGCAGGCGGAUUGGUCAGUCUGUCUUAAAAGUUCGGGGCUUAACCCCGUGAUGGGAUGGAAACUGCCAAUCUAGAGUAUCGGAGAGGAAAGUGGAAUUCCUAGUGUAGCGGUGAAAUGCGUAGAUAUUAGGAAGAACACCAGUGGCGAAGGCGACUUUCUGGACGAAAACUGACGCUGAGGCGCGAAAGCCAGGGGAGCGAACGGGAUUAGAUACCCCGGUAGUCCUGGCCGUAAACGAUGGGUACUAGGUGUAGGAGGUAUCGACCCCUUCUGUGCCGGAGUUAACGCAAUAAGUACCCCGCCUGGGGAGUACGACCGCAAGGUUG